GUGGGGUAAAGGCUCACCAAGCCGACGAUCUGUAGCUGGUCUGAGAGGACGACCAGCCACACUGGGACUGAGACACGGCCCAGACUCCUACGGGAGGCAGCAGUGGGGAAUUUUGGACAAUGGGCGCAAGCCUGAUCCAGCCUUUCCGCGUGCAGGAUGAAGGCCCUCGGGUUGUAAACUGCUUUUGUACGGAACGAAAAGGCUCUGGUUAAUACCUGGGGCUCAUGACGGUACCGUAAGAAUAAGCACCGGCUAACUACGUGCCAGCAGCCGCGGUAAUACGUAGGGUGCAAGCGUUAAUCGGAAUUACUGGGCGUAAAGCGUGCGCAGGCGGUGAUGUAAGACAGAGGUGAAAUCCCCGGGCUCAACCUGGGAACUGCCUUUGUGACUGCAUCGCUGGAGUACGGCAGAGGGGGAUGGAAUUCCGCGUGUA
This 433-nucleotide ribosomal RNA is filed under the name uncultured bacterium. RNAcentral's name for it is "bacterial SSU rRNA". It matches the Rfam family "Bacterial small subunit ribosomal RNA", at positions 252 to 677 of the family's 1533-position model. The record is from RNAcentral.